UGUAUUUUCUCAUGAAACUCAGCCAUCUUUACUUCUUCGACUACAACAGGCACUAUCAAUCAUUCAAAGCUUACUAUCUUUCUUGAGGCGGUGGAUAACACUUAUAAAAAGGUCAUCCUUUCUUCCAUCAACACAUACUCCUCGAUUCUAAGGAAACAUGGCCAGAGCCAUAACUGUGAGCUCCUGCAGAUCUUACUCUGUCCGACAGAUCUUCCGAGCAUCUCACGGUUUCGGCGAUUCUUUCUUGGCUCAACGGCGGGGAUUGGAGCAUGGUGAGUCGAGAGUGCUUCAGGCAGGACGACGGUUUGACUUAAAGCUCCGACGAGGCGAUGCUGAUAAUAAUUACGUCAAAUUAUUCCGACGACGUACUCUGAACAUUACCCGGAUCCUUCUGAUGUAUCUACAGGUUUGUUCAGCGGGCUCAACGAGCAAUCAAUACAUCACAUGUUGAAGCAGAGAGUAAAGAGAAUGGUAUCGGUUUUGUUAAGCUUAUGAGUGUUACAAUGCGAUGGAUGCUACAUAAGCUAGCAGACAUGUCUACCUUACUCCUGAGCCAGCAUUUUAUCUUGAAGGAAAAAGAUGGAUUCUUGGAAUACAUUGAGAAACGGAUAAAGGUGAAUGGUCACAUGGUGAGAAUUGAUGUGCAAAAGCAUGGAAUCUAACAGACGCCUCUGAUAACAUGCUUCUUAAAGGUGUCACUCCUGGCUACCACAAAGCAUCAAGGUAAAAAUUAGAUUAAAACUUUCUCUUAUGCCAUUUCAGUUAUAGUCUAUUAUGGUUCAAUUAUUUGGGUUCAAAAGGGAGUAAAGACACGAAGCCAUGAUUACAUAUUUUAUAGGUCAGUCUAUGCUGAUCUAUUUGGUUUCCUUCUUAUUUCAUUUUGUAAGAAAACCAAGUUAAGAAAGAAACGAAGAAAGUUAGAGACAGAAUUGUAAUCAAGACAUGUUCUGUCUAUUUGAAUCAGUCUUGCGAUGCCACCAAGUACGAGAUAGAGCUGUGUUACGACGCGAAUGUUACGGGGAUGAUAAGUUAUGCCCACAUAGGUGAUUUGUCAGGAAUAUCGGCGUACAAGAACUGUUUCCGUGUUUUCCGGUUAAAAAAAUCAGAGUUGACGGUGCAAGCAAUACUCACUCUUCUCUUUGUCCAAUACCACUAAAAGAUUGCGUUGCU
This is a long non-coding RNA of Brassica oleracea var. oleracea, 1170 nucleotides long. RefSeq lists it as uncharacterized. The record is from RefSeq and is a predicted model, not a curated record. NCBI's taxonomy places the organism in Eukaryota, Viridiplantae, Streptophyta, Magnoliopsida, Brassicales, Brassicaceae. The transcript is spliced from 4 exons.